Molecule: transfer RNA, 63 nt
Filed under: Cassida denticollis
Lineage: Eukaryota; Metazoa; Arthropoda; Insecta; Coleoptera; Chrysomelidae
Description: tRNA-Pro
Rfam family: tRNA
About the family: Transfer RNA (tRNA) molecules are approximately 80 nucleotides in length. Their secondary structure includes four short double-helical elements and three loops (D, anti-codon, and T loops).
Source: RNAcentral
CAAGGAAUAGUUUAAGGUAAAAUAUUAGUUUUGGAGAUUAAAGAUAGGGUUACUUUUCCUUGA